Molecule: long non-coding RNA, 4310 nt
Organism: Lagenorhynchus albirostris (white-beaked dolphin)
Lineage: Eukaryota; Metazoa; Chordata; Mammalia; Artiodactyla; Delphinidae
Exons: 2
Source: RefSeq, a predicted model, not a curated record
CCUACUCAGUUAUUGCCUGUAUCUCCAUUAUUUUAUAAAUGUGCAUUUUAUGUCUUUCCUGUAAAGACUAUGAGUUUAUUGAGGGCUAAACAUCUUUUCCGGUUCCUGGUACAUAGUUGGUACCCAUUUAAAGGGAGGGAGGGACAAAACGUACAUAAGUAGCUACCAAACUGGUAGGAAAAUGGCCUCCAUGGCUGUUCCUCUUCUCCUCUGGAUCUCAGUGCCAGAGUUUCCCAGAGUGUGGUCCCUGGCUCUGUUCUGUCCAUCAUCUUUUUCUUGGUAUCUCAUCCUGCCUGUGGCUGACUCCUUCACAGUUGUACCUCCAGUCCAGGUUUCUCAUUUUCAAAUAUCCAUCUGCCUACAAGAUCCCUCCACUUGGAAGUCGAGAGAAUCCCAAGCUCCACACACCCCAAGCUGAGCUCCCUGCCUCCGCUCCCCCAGUCCUGCUUCCCCAGGGGCCUCCCCAUCACAGGGAAUGGCAACUCCAUCCUUCUGGUCCUCAGGCCAAAAGCUCUACAGUCAGCUUUGACACCUGCCUCUAUUACAGUCCCAUCAACCAGGACAUUCGUCAGGUUCUACCACAUCCUCUUCACUGUCUCAACUGCUGCCACUCAGGUCCCUCCCACCCCAUCUCUUACCUAGAUUAUUUUAGAAGCACUCUAACUGUUCUUCUUACCCUUGUCCUCCCACAAUCCAUUCUCAACCCAGCAGCCGGAAUGACCCUUUGAACCGUAAGUCAGAUCACAAUACUGCUCAGCUUAGAACCUCCCAGUGGCUUUCCCCAGUUACCACAGAAUAAAAGUCACAGUCCCUAAAAUGGUUUACAAGACCUACGUGAUCUGGCCUUCUCUGACCAGUUCCCCUUCCUCAAUCUGCUCUGGUCAUGCCGGCCCCCUUCCUAUUCCUUGAAAUGCCAAGGCAUGCUUCGGCCUUGUGGCCUUUGCAGUGGCUGUUCCCUCUGCCUGGAAUCCUUUCCCCCAGAUAUCUGCAUGGUCAAAUCCCUCACUAACUCCUAAUAUUUUGUUCAAAUGUCACUUUUGAAAGGACCCCUUUUUCAAAAUUGCAGACCGCACCCCGCCACAUGCCUCAUCCCCCUUGCUCUGCUCUGCUCUGCACUUUUCCCCCACAGCACUUACUGCCUUCUAGCAUAUUAUGUAAUGUACUUGCUAUGUUUUUUUGUCUGUUUCUCCCCACAAGAAUGUAAGCUCUGUAGGGCAGAAAUCUCUGUUUUAAUCACUGACACAUAAUGGGCACUCAAUAACUAGUUGUUGAUGGGAUUGAAUGAAGAAAUUGCUCUCCCUUACUAGAAGUCAUUUUUAGAUAACUAGUAAUUCAGAACUACUCCUGUGUGCAUGUCAGCAAAAUUCAGUGGAGAUUUAUUGAGAAGAUGCUGAGCUGGGCCCCUGGCCCCCUGGUCUGUACAAAUUGUUUUGCUGUAAAACAGAAUCUUUCAGCUGGGUGGUGGGGCUGGGGGUUGGGGGGAAAUGCUACCAGGAAACCAAAGGAAGGCCAUUCUCUACGUUUCCUGCUGAUGAUUUCAAAAUUAGAGGCUGGAGUUUUGCAUGUGAAUCCACAUGCAAAAGAAUGAAUUUAGAGCUGUACUUCACAGCAUAUAGAAAAAUUAACUCAAAAUGGACCACUAAAUCUCUAAAGCUCUUAGACGAAAACAUAAGGGUAAAUCUUUGUGACCUUGGAUUAGGCAACAGUUCUCUAGAUAUGACAUCAAAAGCACAGGCAAUGAAAGAAAAAAAUAAAGUGGACUUCAUCAAAAUAAAAACUUUUGUUUUUGGAAGAACACUAUCAUGAAAGUGAGAAGACCACCAACAGAACAGGAGAGGACAUUUGCAAAUCAUAUAUCUGAUAAGGGAUUUGUAUCUAGAAUAUAUAAAGAACUCUUACAACUCAACAAUAAGACAGAUAGUCUAAUUAAAAAUAGGCAAAUGGACAUGUCUCCAAAGAAGAUACACAAAUGGCCAAUAAGCAUUUGAAAAACAUGCUCAACAUCGUUACAGAAAACCACAAUGAGAUACCACUUUACACCCACUAGGAUGGCUACAGUCAAAAAGAUGGAAAGAAACAAGUGUCGGUGAGGACGUGGGGAAAUUGGAGCUCUCAUACACUGCUGAUGGGAAUGUAAAAUGGUGCAGCCCCUUUGGAAAAUAGUCCAGCAUUUCCUCAGUUAGUUACACAUAGAAUUACCAUGGUACAGUUAACUCCUCUCCUAGGUAUAAACUCAAAAGAAAUGAAAAUGUGUUCAAAUAGGUAGUGGUACAUGAAUUUUCACAGUAACAUUGUUCAUAAUAGCCAGAAAGUAGAAACAACCCAAAUGUCCAUUAGCUGAUGAAUCAAUAAACUAAAUGUGAUAUAUUCAUACGAUGGAAUAUUCAUCCAUAAGAAGGAAGGAAGUACUGAUACAUGCUGUAACAUUGAGUAUAUGCUGAGUAUAUCAGCAUGUACUGAUACAUGCUGUAACACUGAGGAAUAUUAUUCAUCCAUAAGAAGGAAGGGAGUACUGUUACAUGCUGUAACAUUGAGGAACUUUAAAAACAUGAUGUUUGGUUACAGAGUUUCAGUAUGGAAGGUGAAAAUAGUUCUGGAGAUGGAUGGUGGCCAUAGUUAUGCAACAAUGUGAAUGUGCUUAAUGCCACUGAACUCUACACAUGAAAAUGCCUUCAAGCCAGCAGAGCAUGUGGAAGCCUUGAUCUUCUGAGGUGCUGGGGCUGUUUCUUGCCUUCCUGUAUCAAAGCUCAUUUUGUAAGUAUUGCAGUCAGGAGUCUUAGUCCUGUGAAGGGACUUUGUUCAACCCUUAUUAAAAGCCCAGAUUUGCUGCUGUGUGCUUGGCAUCCCCUUCAGAAUUGAUGUCUGAUGUUUUAUGCUUCUGAAAUCUUCUAGAACAAGGCCAGAGAGAUUUUCUGAAUCCCUCUUUGAUUGUUUUUAAUUCCAUUACAGCUUGUCCUCGUGUAUUAACAAGGUAAUCUUGUCUUUCUCUUACUUUACUGCUCUGAUCUUUCAGAGGAAAUGUGAUUUUAAAAUGGGACACCAUCCAAAGAUCAUGCCAGGAUGACAAAGGAUAUUAUUCAUGCAAGCAGUGCAAUUCCAAAGAUGUGAUCUGAGCUAUAGUUCUUUGCAUGUUUUUGAUUCCCUUUCUACUCAGAAGUGGUCCACAGGGCUUCCCUGGUGGCGCCGUGGUUAAGAAUCCACCUGCCGGGCUUCCCUGGUGGCGCAGUGGUUGGGAGUCCGCCUGCCGAUGCAGGGGACGCGGGUUCGUGCCCCAGUCCGGGAGGAUCCCGCAUGCCACGGAGCGGCUGGGCCUGUGGGCCAUGGCCGCUGGGCCUGCGCGUCCGGAGCCUGUGCUCCACAACGGGAGAGGCCACAGCGGUGAGAGGCCCGCGUACCGAAAAAAAAAAAAAAAAUCCACCUGCCAAUGCAGGGGACACGGGUUCGAGCCCUGGUCCAGGAAGAUCCCACAUGCCGCAGAGCAGCGAAGCCCGUGCACCACAGCUACUGAGCCUGCGCUCUAGAGCCCAGGAGCCACAACUACUGAGUCCACGUGCCACAACUACUGAAGCCCACGCGCCUAGAGCCCAUGCUCUGCAACAAGAGAAGCCACUGCAAUGAGAAGCCCGUGCACCGCAACGAAGAGCAGCCCCGACUCGCCGCAACUAGAGAAAGCCCACGCACAGCAACGAAGGCCCAACGCAGCCAAAAUUAAAUUAAAUUAAAUUAAAACAUAGAAGUGGCCCACAGACCAAUAGCAGUGGUAUCACCUGGGAGCAUGUUAGAAAUGCAGAAUUUGGGGCUUCUCCCCAAACCUACCUAAUCAGAAUCUGCAUUUUAACAAGAUGUGGUGGUUUUAAAGUAUGUCCACACGUUCCUUGAUAUUCCUCUGUUUGGUGGAGCCUAAUUCCCCUUAUCUUGAGUGUGGGCUGUCCUUAGUGACUUGUUUAUAACAAACCAUGAGGCAGAGAUGGUGGAGUGCGACCUCCAAGGCAGCUAAGUCAUAAAAGACCUCUCUCUAGGAUCUCUCCUCCUUGGGGAAGCCAGAGUUGCCAUGUGGUGAGAACACUCAAGCAGUUAAUCUGUGGAGAGGGUCACAUGGCCAAGAACUGAGGCCCCCUGCCAACAAUCAUGUUGCACAACAUCUCUGAAGUGAAUCCUCAGCCUUGGUCAAGACUUCAGAUGACAUAACUGCAGCCAGCAGCCAGCCUGCAACCUUAUGAAGACCCAGAGCCAGACCCACCCAGCUGAGUCACUGCUGAGCUCCUGACUCUCAGCAACUAUGUUAGAUGAUAAAUGUGCGUUGUUUUCAA